RNAcentral lists this ribosomal RNA (475 nucleotides) under uncultured bacterium. RNAcentral's name for it is "partial 16S ribosomal RNA". It matches the Rfam family "Bacterial small subunit ribosomal RNA", at positions 33 to 541 of the family's 1533-position model. The record is from RNAcentral.
AACGAACGCUGGCGGCAUGCCUAACACAUGCAAGUCGAACGAGACCUUUGGGUCUAGUGGCGCACGGGUGCGUAACGCGUGGGAAUCUGCCCUUGGGUUCGGAAUAACAGUGAGAAAUUGCUGCUAAUACCGGAUGAUGUCUUCGGACCAAAGAUUUAUCGCCCAGGGAUGAGCCCGCGUAGGAUUAGCUAGUUGGUGGGGUAAUGGCCUACCAAGGCGACGAUCCUUAGCUGGUCUGAGAGGAUGAUCAGCCACACUGGGACUGAGACACGGCCCAGACGGAGAAGGGGGCAUGAAGAGGAAAAUAUAGACAAAUGGGGAAGAGCUGGAGACGGCACUGCGGCGUAGGGAGUGAAGACGUGUGGUUUUAAAAGUCAUGUGACCAGGGAUAAUAAAGAAAGAGCGGGGAAAAAAAGCCCCGGCUAACUCCGGAGCAGGGGCGGCAGUAAAAGAUGAAGAAAGCCAGCAUCAAAUC